UGAUUCAAGGCGAGGCAAGAGGUGCUUCAGAUGCUGUCUUUUGCAGUCCUCCGAGAGGUUAGGGAUGUGGGAGGUCCCUGGGGGCCAUCUCUUACAAGACACAGUUUCCACUAAAUUGGAUCGUAUUUGUACAUCUCUACACCUGUGCGUGAUAGUAAACUUUUGCACCCAAAUACCCCGACCCCUGAAGGAGAGUGUGAGUUAAAAGGAUCUGAAGAACGGACCCUUUGUUUAAGCCUUCUCCGCUGGUGGUAUACUUACGAGGACCAGAGGUGAGGUGUCAGCAAGGAGGCCCACAGGUGGAAAGUGCUUUGGGCCAAUGGUACACACCUGCUUUAUUGGAUAGACGCAGAGAAGUAUGCCUGGUCACAGCCAGAGCUUACUCGGGUUAUCUUCUUCUGCUGGAUGGAUAAACACUCAGAACCCCAAAGCAGUGUUCUAAGAUUAAAAAGAAAAAAGAAAAUCAGGUGGAUAAAGAGCCUCAGGUCUAACUGAAUUGUCAACUAAUGACGUUUCCUGCUUCCCCUUCACCUUCAGCCAUGAUUGUAAAUUUCCUGAGGCCUCCCAAGCCAUGCUUCCUGUACAGCCUGUGGAACUAUGGUCUGAGAGUACCUGUGCUGAAAUGGAAUUGUCUUUGAGUGGACACUUCUUAGAUGAGACCUAUUGUGGCCAAUAGCUCCUGAGGAACUGAAGCCUUCAGUUCAAAACUUGUGUGAGAAAAAUGAAUCUUGCCAACUACUGGAGUGAGCUUAGAAAUGAAUCCAUCCCCAGUUGACCCUUGAAUGUAGCCUUGUCAGAGACCCAGAGACAAAGCAUCCUGCUAAUCUGCACUGGGUUCUAGGCCCACAGAAACCAUGGGAUAAUAACUUUGUGUUGCUAUAAGCCACUGAAAACAAACAAAUAAAAUACUUAAGAUGUUCCCCUGUGGAAGGGUUCCAUUGCCAGGGAUCUGCACUUCACAACCAAAGGGAUUAAAGAGAAUUGCCUUCUUCAGAUUUCAGACUGUGGCCUGCUUCUGGUUUUUCUUUCUAUAUUCAUAUAUAUGUUUGUUUAAAUCAUCCUACUUUUGGAGCAGGAAAAGUUACUAUUACAGUUUAUACAAAGGGAAGAAAUCUGGUACAUGCUAAAGUUAUUCAUCUGUAACUACCUGACGAGCCCAAUUAGUUGCUUGCUCCUAUGGAUUCUGAGCCUAAAAUCCCUUCAACAGAUCUUUGACCUUUUCUAAGUUAAGUUUUUGGAAGUAUCCUAUUUGUUCACUUACUUGGGCCAGAGACUAUAGAGAUUAAGAGAAAGUUUGAUAUUUGACCCUAAUUUUAGGCUAAAACAAUUUAGAUGGAAAGAACAGACACAAUUCAAUUUAACCAUCUUCAACUGCUGUGCUUUAGAAAGCUGGGAGUGUGGAGAAUGGAGUAGGUGUACAGAAAAAUAAGAACAGUUCUGUUCUUCAGGGCUUGAUAAAGGCUGCUGUGAGUUGGAUGGACAAUAAUUACUACUGACUAGGUCUAGCUGGGAUAGUUAGGGGAGACUUUCUGAAAGAGGCAACACAUGAGCUGGGUUCUAAAUCUCAAAUAGGAUUUGAUGGCUGAAGAUGAGGGUAAUAAAACAAGAGAAACAAGUACAUUCCAGAUAGAAAGAAUAGUAUAAGCCAAGAAAAACCUAUUCCAGGGCAGCAGGGAAGAGUCUGAAGUGGCAAAACAAAGUAGGAGGCAAAGCUGUCAAUAUAAGUAACUUGGUAGAGAAACAUUAGGAGUUUGGAUUUUAUCCCAUUGACUAGGAGGAUUUAAAAACAGAAAAUGCUCACAGGGGCCAGGCAAGUUAUGAGUAAAUAAAAGGUCCAGGUGUAAGUGCAACAGGGCCCAUGGACAUAGGAAUGGGGGAUGUGAAAAACCAACCUUUGCUAACAGUGAGUUCUACUAUGCAGUUUUAGCUGAUUAUAGCCAGACUCGAAAGCAACCUUUGUAGGGUUGACAGUUCUUGUGAUUGUUCAAGAAAAAAAUUUAUGUAAAAUCUACUGACUUGAAAAUACUAGAUUAAUUUAUUUAAUGUUAUAGAGCUCAAAUAAAACACAUUUGUCUUAUUUAUAGCCCAAGAGCUUUUGGUGGUGAUGGUGGGUAACAAUUUUGGUAGGAGAGAAGGCUAUGAGUUGAAUGGUGUCUUAGGAAUAUUUGGCAUUUGUGAUAGAUUGGACAAGGUAGAGAUGUAAAAGAAAAAAUGUCUCAGGCCGGGUAUGCUGGCUCACACCUGUCUGAGUACUUUUUGUGGCUGAGGUGGGAUUGUUUGAACCCAGGAGUUCAAGGCUAGCCUGGGCAAUAUGGUGAGACCUUGUCUCUACAAAAACAUUUAUUAAAAAAUUAGCAAAGCAUGAUGGUGUGCACCUGUAGUCCCAGCUACUUGGGAUGCUGAGGUGGGAGGAUUGUUUAAACCGGGGAGUUCGGGGCUGAGGUUAGAUGAAAUACCACUGAAAGGCCACUGCAUUCCAGCCUGGGUGACAGAGUAAGACCCUGUCUCAAAAUAAUAAUAAUAAUAAUUGCAUCAGACCAGUUAAACAGGAAGACCUUAUUCAAGAUUACCACAAUAAGGAGAGAAAUUGAAUUCAACUUUGCCGAAUGAAAAGUGGGAGAGUUUUUAAGCACUGAGAUGCACUAGUAGAAAAAUACUGAAGGAAGUUAGUGGAGAGGUUGAUCAAUGUGAUGAGAAUAUCUGUAAUUGCUAACUGGCUGUUUUAAAAGCUAGGCUCCCAUCCCUCCACAGAGACCGGACUAUAAGAGUGCUAUCUUUCUUGAGGAGUACAUUUCAAAAGGAUGGCUCCCAGGUCCUUCCCAUCCCAGGUCCUUCAGACAUUCCUGGGUUAUACAGGAUUUAUAUCUGUUAAAGCAAACUAAAUAUGGCCAGAGAAGGACUCCUUAUUUCUAUAUUUGAGUCCACGUGAAUGAAAUGCAACCUAACUUAAUGGGUAGACAAGAUUGAGAACCUAACUUGGGAGUGUGUGCCUGUAACAGUGGCUGGGCCUUGGCCAAUCCCAGCAGCCAUACGUCAACCACUCAUACAGCGUGGAGUGUUCAAACUGUGUUCAAAUAAGGUAAAUGCCAACCUGUAACCAAUCCAGCUGUUUCUGAACCUCACUUCUGAUUUCUGUACAUCACUUUUCUUUUUUUGUCUAUAAAUUUGUUCUAAUCAUGAGGCAUCCCUGGAGUCUCUCUGAAUCAGCUGUGAUUCUGGGGGCUGCCCAAUUCACAAAUCAUUCAUUGCUCAAUUAAACUCCUUUAAAUUUAAUUCAGCUGCAGUUUUUCUUUUACCACAUCUAAAAGGCAGAGAAAGAAUUUACAAGUGCAAGUUUUCUGAAGUAAAUGCUCUAAGAAAAGGGAGGACAGAGGCCUAAAGUUAGAAAUAAACUUGUCUAGGCUGGGCGUAGUGGCUCAUGCCUGUAAUCCCAGCACUUUGGGAUGCCGUGGCGGGCAGGUCACUUGAAGUCUGAAGUUUGAGACCAGACUGGCCAACAUGGUAAAACCCCGUCUCUACUAAAAAUACAAAAAUUAGCAGGGCAUGGUGUGCAUGCCUGUAGUCUCAGCUCCUUGGGAGGCUGAGGCAGGAGAAUUGCUUGAAUCAGGGAGGCGGAGGUUGCAGUGAGGCGAGAUCGCGCCACUGCACCCCAGCCUCGGCGACAGAGUGAGACUACAUCUCAAACACACACAAAAACACGCGCGCGCGUGCACACACACACACACACACAACUUGUCUAGAGUUUAGUCAAGCUGAGUGUUAAGGCCAACUCAUUCAGAGGAUAAAUGCAGGGAGAAGAGUUAGAAGCUAUUGUAAUAAUCCACAUGUCACGUUCUAAAGUCCAAAAUGAAGGACUAACACCUGAACCAAGAAAAUGUGCGAAAGGCCUUGAAAUGAACGAAAAAGAUUACUAGGUGCUUUCAGCUGAUAAAGUAGGUCUUUUCUAGUGAGCACUCUGCCAGUUUAUUUGAAUCUAUGAGGUUUUUCUCUUUCAUUGCCUGUGAGUUGUUUUCCAAGGAUUUACAAUGUAAGUUGUGGUUAACUGAUUGCAAUACAAAUUAAUCUUCUUUAUAGACAUGCAAAUGAGAUCUGUCUGCUGUAGGAACAAUUCAUUUUCCUUCCCCCGCUACUGAUGUAGUAAACCAGUUUUAUAUCUACUUAUAAAUUAUUUACAUCUAUUUAUAAAUUCAUGUUAGCAUUUCUUAUUGCUUAUAUAUGGGUGGUUCUUUGAUUGGAAUAGCUUACUGGUUCUUUGUUAAUUAAAGAGUUACAAUAUUUAACAUGUGUUUGUUUAAUUACAUGAGUCUUAAUUAUAUAGUUUUAAAAAACAUUAUUCUUUAAUAUCUAUAAGAGAAUAAAGGUAUAAAUGUAAGAGAUUUAAAAGAUAGAAUCAAUACAACCCAGUGAAAAAUGUGAAGGUUAAGAAAAAGGGAAAAAAAAUGAUGCUGUUGAAUUUUGUAUCCAGGGGCUUGGAUGGAUGAUUUGUCGUAGAUAGAAAUAGGAGUAGCAGGAGGAAGAGAAGUUUGAGUGCCAAAGUGGGAGAAGAGGCAUUCCUUCUUUUACAAGUAUUGAGUUUGAGAGGAGGU
This 4586-nucleotide long non-coding RNA is filed under the name Homo sapiens (human). RNAcentral's name for it is "HSALNT0173569". The record is from RNAcentral. Lineage: Eukaryota; Metazoa; Chordata; Mammalia; Primates; Hominidae.